GUUCAUAAAUGACCAGCAUGGUCAUAUAAUAAUAAGGCAGAACAGUUGAAACUGGAGCAGCAGCACGGUCAGGUGGACUGGGGACAGCAAGGAGUCAUCAUGUCAGGCAGUCCCGGGGCAUGGUCCCAGGGCCCAGGUCAGUUGAAACUGGAGCAGCAGCAUGGUCAGGUGGACUGGGGACAGCAACGAGUCACCUUGUCAGGUAGUCCUGGGGCAUGGUCCUAGGGCUCAGGUCCUCCUCCGAGAGAGAGAGAAAGAGAGAAUUAGAGAACGCACACUUAGAUUCACACAGGACACCGAAUAGGACAGGAGAGGUACUCCAGAUAUAACAAACUAACCCUAGCCCCCAGACACAUAAACUACUGCAGCAUAAAUACUGGAGGCUGAGACAGGAGGGGUCAGGAGACACUGUGGCCCCAUCCGAGGACACCCCCGGACAGGGCCAAACAGGAAGGAUAUAACCCCACCCACUUUGCCAAAGCACAGCCCCCACACCACUAGAGGGAUAUCUUCAACCAUCAACUUACCAUCCUGAGACAAGGCUGAGUAUAGCCCACAAAGAUCUCCGCCACGGCACAACCCAAGGGGGGUGCCAACCCAGACAGGAUGACCAUCCUGGACAGCUUCCUCUUCAUAUAAUCCUGGACAGUUUCCUCUUCAUAUAAUCCCGGACAGCUUCCUCUUCAGAAAAUCCUGGACAACCUCCUCUUCAGAUAAUCCUGGACAGCUUCCUAUUUAUUUAGCCCUGGGUAGAUUCCUUUUUAUAUAACCCUGGACAGAUUCCUCUUUAUAUAACCCUGGGUUACUGUCUACCUCCUCUUCAUGGACAUACAGACACAGGACAGCACAGGGAUCAGGCAUAAUCAGAAUGCCGCUCAGACAGUGUGUACAUGCAUAUGGACCAGACUGUACCAGUAUCUCCCAUUAAAAAUUGGUAUGAAACCUCUGCCAACAUAUAAGUCUUGUUUAUAUGGGUGUUUUGGGUAAUUUUGUUCUCUGGUUGGACAGAAUCUUCCUUCUGAAACAUGCUAUUGUAGAUCUGCUUCUUUCCUAAGAGUAUGUAACUGUCAGUUCAAUUUUUCUUUGUAUCACUGAAAGCCUUCAAUAAUGCCUGGAAUACAUGUCUGGAAUACAAAACCAUUAAUGAAUUUGAUUUUAUUUAACUGUAAGUCAUCUAAGCGGAAUGUAAAGAAAGAUCUUGGGACAUUGAGACACUUUUUACAGGACAGGUAAACCGGAGUUGUGUGUGUGUUUCACAGCCAGUCACGGCUACAAAGUUACAACAUGCAUUGAUAG
This is a long non-coding RNA of Oncorhynchus tshawytscha (Chinook salmon), 1296 nucleotides long. Lineage: Eukaryota; Metazoa; Chordata; Actinopteri; Salmoniformes; Salmonidae. The record is from Ensembl.